AUACCUUUCUUGGCCUUUUGGUCAAGAUCAAGAGUAGUAUGUUUUUAUCAGUUUAAUAUCUAAUACAAAUACAAUUUAUUCAACAAAAAAUAAACUUUAGACAAGGAAUAUUCAAAUUCCUACUAGAUUCCUAUGGAAGUAAACUGCUCAAGGGGCGUCUCUCACCGGCUGGAUCGGUUGCUUCCAACGGCU
Molecule: small nuclear RNA, 192 nt
Organism: Cryptomeria japonica (Japanese cedar)
Lineage: Eukaryota; Viridiplantae; Streptophyta; Pinopsida; Cupressales; Cupressaceae
Product: U2 spliceosomal RNA
Exons: 1
Source: RefSeq, a predicted model, not a curated record